This 75-nucleotide small RNA is filed under the name Nitrosospira multiformis ATCC 25196. RNAcentral's name for it is "isrK Hfq binding RNA". It matches the Rfam family "isrK Hfq binding RNA". Lineage: Bacteria; Pseudomonadati; Pseudomonadota; Betaproteobacteria; Nitrosomonadales; Nitrosomonadaceae. The record is from Rfam by way of RNAcentral.
GCCACUGCAAAUUCAGUGGUCGAGAUUGGCGUCUCGGUACAAAGGCGGACACAACCGCCUCUUGGCGGUUUUUUU